GUGGGGAAUAUUGCGCAAUGGAGGCAACUCUGACGCAGCCAUGCCGCGUGCAGGAAGAAGGCGCUACGCGUUGUAAACUGCUUUUAACCGGGAAGAAACCCCAGGACGUGUCCUGGGUUGACGGUACCGGAGGAAUAAGCACCGGCUAACUUCGUGCCAGCAGCCGCGGUAAUACGAAGGGUGCAAGCGUUAUCCGGAUUCAUUGGGAUUAAAGGGUGCGUAGGCGGAGCGUUAAGUCAGUGGUGAAAUCCUGCAGCUUAACUGUAGACUUGCCAUUGAUACUGGCGCUCUUGAGUGCGCUUGAAGUGGGCGGAAUGUGCCGUGUAGCGGUGAAAUGCUUAGAUAUGGCACAGAACACCAAUUGCGAAGGCAGCUCACUAAGGCGAUACUGACGCUGAGGCACGAAAGCGUGGGGAUCGAACAGGAUUAGAAACCCCGGUAGUCC
Molecule: ribosomal RNA, 445 nt
Filed under: uncultured bacterium
Lineage: Bacteria
Description: partial 16S ribosomal RNA
Rfam family: Bacterial small subunit ribosomal RNA
Source: RNAcentral